Molecule: transfer RNA, 64 nt
Filed under: uncultured Alloprevotella sp.
Lineage: Bacteria; Pseudomonadati; Bacteroidota; Bacteroidia; Bacteroidales; Prevotellaceae
Rfam family: tRNA
About the family: Transfer RNA (tRNA) molecules are approximately 80 nucleotides in length. Their secondary structure includes four short double-helical elements and three loops (D, anti-codon, and T loops).
Source: RNAcentral
UUAUAGUUCAGUUGGUUAGAGCGUCAGAUUGUGGUUCUGAAUGUCGUGGGUUCGAGUCCCACUA